UACGUAGGGUGCGAGCGUUAAUCGGAAUUACUGGGCGUAAAGUGUGCGCAGGCGGCCGAGCAAGUCGAGUGUGAAAGCCCCGAGCUUAACUUGGGAACUGCGCUCGAAACUACUUGGCUAGAGUGUGGCAGAGGGAAGUGGAAUUCCACGUGUAGCGGUGAAAUGCGUAGAGAUGUGGAGGAACACCGAUGGCGAAGGCAGCCUCCUGGGCCAACACUGACGCUCAUGCACGAAAGCGUGGGGAGCAAACAGG
Molecule: ribosomal RNA, 253 nt
Filed under: uncultured bacterium
Lineage: Bacteria
Description: partial 16S ribosomal RNA
Rfam family: Bacterial small subunit ribosomal RNA
Source: RNAcentral